GGGCUUGUAGCUCAGCAGGUUAGAGCGCACGCCUGAUAAGCGUGAGGUCGGAAGUUCGAGUCUUCCCAGGCCCA
Molecule: transfer RNA, 74 nt
Filed under: Pseudomonadota bacterium
Lineage: Bacteria; Pseudomonadati; Pseudomonadota
Description: Proteobacteria bacterium (gut metagenome) tRNA-Ile
Rfam family: tRNA
About the family: Transfer RNA (tRNA) molecules are approximately 80 nucleotides in length.
Source: RNAcentral